CGGGACGAUAAGGUCACGGGGAAGGCAUCCGCUGGCGCAGCGGUUUACCUUCGAAGGACAAGACGCCUGGAAGCGCGCCGCCUCCCGAAGGAGGACGAAAGAAAUGAGAGUCUCGGGUUCCGAUGAUUUAUCGACACGAGUAGGAGGGGGCGGCAAGGCCGGGAGAGGCCUCGCCUCGCCGAGGCUCUUCCCACAUCCCCAGCGACUCCCCAGGCGGUGCCAUGCCUGCGAGGGCUGGCUCCCAGCCUCUACCUUCCUGCCGGCGGCCCGGGGAGGCCGCCCGGAGCUGGGGCUGCGCUGGGGACGGGCCGGCCACGUCCCUGCGGAAACGGGUAAAACUUGGCGCUGGUAGGGCCGAGCUGCCGCCGAGGCGGUGGAGGAGCAGUGGUUGUGCCCGUUCGCAAAGGGGGUGGCGGGGAGCGGGGCUGCUGUGCGGCUGCUGGCCCGGGCGGAGGUAAAAGCAAAACUCUGUUUGACUUUUCUGCUGGGAGAGGUGUCAUGGUGUAUGGCAUGGGCCCACCACUCCUACCAAUGAAUCUAUGCAGCAGACCUUGGCCAAGAAGUUCAAUACAAAACUAAGAGAGGAUGGUCUCAAGCUGUAACAUUAGAAAAAAUGAGAGACCAUAGACCACCAGUGGUUCCUUUCUGCUGAUUUUGGGGGUGAAAGACAAGGGGAAGUUAGAGUGCCUGAAAUGUUGGUAUGCCUGGGACCAUAUAGUUUGAAUACCAUCCAUGCUUGGAACUUCCUCAGACUAACAUCAAGGGACUAAGCAGGAGAUUAUUCCUGUUCAGUGAAUGUGCUGUCGAAAGUUAUAAUGUAAUAGUGAAAAAUGCCAGC
Long non-coding RNA from Aquila chrysaetos chrysaetos, 838 nucleotides. RefSeq lists it as uncharacterized. The record is from RefSeq and is a predicted model, not a curated record. The transcript is spliced from 3 exons. NCBI's taxonomy places the organism in Eukaryota, Metazoa, Chordata, Aves, Accipitriformes, Accipitridae.